This is an RNA transcript of Tympanuchus pallidicinctus (lesser prairie-chicken), 3923 nucleotides long. It is a transcript of the gene named transmembrane protein 68, with no coding region annotated. NCBI's taxonomy places the organism in Eukaryota, Metazoa, Chordata, Aves, Galliformes, Phasianidae. The record is from RefSeq and is a predicted model, not a curated record. The transcript has 9 exons.
CAGCCGGACAGCGGUCCGGGCGGCUCCCGCCUCCCCGGCGGCGCGGAGUUCCUCCCUUUUCGCCUCCCGCCGCCUUCGUUAUCUCCUCGCCCCCGCUCCCGCCGGGGGCGCGGUGCCCCUCCCGUCUCCGCCCCGCGGGGAGCCGCCCCAGCCUGGCUGCCCAGCGGGCAUCCGGCCUCCGCGGAGGCGGUGGGCGAAGGAGUAAAAGCGGGCCCCGAGAGUGACCGGGGGUUGGAGCCGGAGCCGCGGCCGCUGGGGGAAGAUAAACAGAAGAUGAUAGGGAGCAAUGAAUCCUCUACUGAAGGACCAGUGCCUACAUCCUACUUAACCUUCCUGGCUUAUUUACUGGGAGAAUGGACUGGUAUAGAACACACUGAAACUUAUCUGAGUUAUGGAGUCUACCUUUCAUGGGUGCUUUUUCCACUUGCAAUAGCUUUUAUACUUCCAAUAGCUAUCUUCUUCUUCUGCCUCAACACUUCCCUUCUCCUUCUUCAUAUUCAUAAAAGGAGGAAGAAUGGAGGACGUUCUGGUGAUGUUUGGUAUGGUGCAAAAGAAAUGUUGGCUAACCUGUGGGAUGGACAUGGGAGAAUAUGGCAUGGUUAUGAACUUCAUGGGGAUGAAAAUAUUCCAGAAGGACCAGCACUUAUUGUGUUUUAUCAUGGAGCUAGUCCUGUUGACUAUCUCUAUUUCAUGGCUAGACUUCUUAUACGAAGGAAGAGAUAUUGCCACGUAGUAGCGGAUCAUUUCGUCUUUAGAUUACCAGGUUUAAAAACGUUUAUUGAGGUACUUGGCAUUAUGCAUGGACCAAAAGAAGUAUGUGUCAGUGCUCUGAAGAAAGGCUAUCUGUUAGCUAUUUCUCCAGGUGGACUUCGGGAAGCACUCUUCAGUGAUGAAACAUAUCCUAUUAUGUGGGGUAAUCGAAAGGGCUUUGCCCAGGUGGCCAUUGAUGCAAAAGUGCCCAUCAUUCCUAUGUUUACACAAAAUGUUCGAGAAGGCAUUAGGACAUUAGGAGGAAUAAAAAUACUUAGGAAGCUGUAUGAACGUAUUAGAUUGCCAGUAGUUCCUAUGUAUGGCUGGUUUCCAGUCAAGCUUCGUACGUUUAUUGGAGAACCCAUUCCAUAUGAUCCAAAUAUAACUGCUGAGGAACUGACUGCGAAGACAAAAGCAGCACUCCAGGCUCUAAUAGCCAAACAUCAGAAAAUACCAGGAAAUAUACUGAGGGCUUUAAUGGAACGAUUUCAAACACGACAGAAAGAAGACUAAGGUCUUCUGAGCAGUGUGCCAAGCAAGAGAUGACAGAGGAGACAUGAAGAAGGAAAACAUACAAACCUGUAGUAUCAACCUUUUUGUGACAAGAUGAGGAUGUGCUACCUCCAAUUCAAUCAGAUUUGAUAAUAAAUUACUGGGAACAGCUCCUAUUUUGCAACUGAGGAGAGUAAAAGACAUUUGGCUAUACAUCAGUAGGCUGCAUCAAGAGAAGGUGGAAGUGAUUCAUCCCAUUGUAAAUGCCCUGCUGCUGGGGUGGAGUGAAAUCAAUGUAAAGAGAUUCAGCAGGUGGUGGCAGCUCGUUGAAGUAAAUAAAUCAAAUGAAGAAAACAUGACUAUUCCCAGAUAUGAUGACAAGUGACCAUAUCAAAGUCCGAGAAUUUGCAUGUCAGCACAAAAGAUGAAGCUGGAGGCAAACGGUGACACAGGAUACCUAGCAGAGCACUCUGACCAGCCAGAGGAACUGAUGUGUGGGCAAGUUUCCUGCUGCUAUCAGGACGUUGGUAGGACACUCCUGAGGACGCGAGACCUCUGGCCAAAUGCCACAUAGGCACAAGGUAACCUCGUAGCUUCUUUCCCACUCUGCGCUGGCAUGGAGGGCUGGAAUCAAAAUCGCUGUGAGAAGGUGACAGCGUUUGAAAUGAAGACUCAGAUGUAACAGAUGGCAAGCACAGCCCCAAGCAAAAGUAGAUUCCCAAAGGAAAGCACAAAAACAAAUACCAAACAGGCCUUUAAAGUAAAUGAACAAACAAACAAACAAAAAGAGAAAGCCUUAAAGGGAAGUUCUUGGAAAAGUUACAAAAUCAUCUGAGAGAAAAGAAAGAUGGGGAGGAACAAAUGUGCAAUAAUGAAAGUGUGCUUUGCAUAAUGCUGCCCACUCCAUCUGAAGGAGCCUCCAGAUGUUCCGUGUUACUCUCAUGUGACUGUGAGUUGUGAAAUAGCUGGUGUGCUGCAAAGUGAGAAAAUCAAUGCUGUGUUCUAGGCAGCUUCUGAUAUCAAGGGAACAGCAGAACUACUUAUUUGGUAGAAUUUGCUUCAGAGCAUGUUUCAGAAUUAGCUCAUCACUCACAACAACACCUUUUACAAGUCGAUGUGAGUUGUCUCCUUGGGAAAAAGCAGCUGGCAGAUGAGGCAGUCAAAACCUAUUUUUCCAAAAGCAGCCUCUGAUCUGAACAUAGAGACACUGUGAGUAUUCAGUCUGAAAAACAAGGGCUGCAUUUUUCAAAACUGCUGAGCAUUGCUGGGUCCUAUCUGAGAGUGCUGGAACUGCAAGCCCUGACCACCCUCCAGAAUGAUGCCAGAGCAAGCUCCAGCUGAACCACUCAUUCCCCACAGACAUCAUUGCCAGUGACUUUUUGUUGCUGACUGCAGGUGGAAACAAGCAUCCAUGCUGUGCAUGUUGUAAGCCCAGAGCCUCAAUGACAAUCUAAAUCAGAAAUAGAUGGAGACGACCAACAGGAAAGGCAGAUGCUUCUGGCACCAGGCCUAUGCUCAGACAACUUUCACCUUAAUUUAUUGAGACUUUUUUUUUUUUUUUUUUUUUUUUUGUGCAGCAGUGGAAUUGAUCAAGUUCCAAAUCUGUACUAACUAUAGAGAUACCAAAAAUUUAAAAUCAGUAUAAGGUUAACUUGCUUAAAACUUUGAGAUUGCUUGGAGAAGAAUCACAGGAGUCCACAUAUCAGUAAUAAUCCAUUUGCUCAGUUUCCUUAUUUAUAUAAUAGAGUACAUAAGCUUAUCAUUCCAUGUUUUGAGACUUUAUUCUUGAAUUGCUGUCUCUGAGCUAUCUGCUUGGUUAACAAUGCACAUAUGGCAGUAACACAAUGGUUGGUAACACUUACUGUGCUUAUUGGUGUGCUCAGGGCAGUACAGCUUAUGCUCACAGCACUUAAUUAGAACCUGACUGAAAAGAAAUGGCUUGAUUGCUGGAAGACCCAGUAGGAAAAGUCUUCAGCUUUGUAUAUGGCUUUCUAUGAAUGAGAAAUCUUUCCAAGUGGGAAAAACUGAGUGCUUAAGAAUGAAUACAAUAUGCAUGAGCUGGUGUGCCUGACCACAGGUCCGAAGUGCUGCCACAGCAAACAGACUAUACAGAAUAGCACUUUCCUACUUUCCUGUCUCAUUUCUAUAGCACAGAAUUUAGUGAAAAGAUGUGUCUUAUAACUGCAGUACAAAGGAAAAGAACUGUCCAUCUCUGGUCGGCCUAUCCAAGAUUCCCAUUGUGGUGGUAGGAAGAUACAGCUCCCUUCCAUACAAAUGGGUCUCUGCGUACUUUAUGAGCUAAGUUAACUGAGUGAAUGUAGUGUUAACUACAUAUGAAAUAAGUAGGAGAAAAAACAUACUUGGAUAAUUUUGCCAAGGCACUUGGGGCUUUUAUUACCAAGUCUCUAUAUUUAGUUCAUCAGCAAGUUUUUUUUACAGGAACCGUAGCCAUUUCUCAACCUCUCUCUCUCUGUUUUGUUUUGUUUUGUUUUUUUUUUUAAAGUAAAGAGAGGUGAGAACUGCUCUGAAUAAGCACUGUUCAAGCAGCCUAUAAAAACUUCUCCACUUCUUUCCUUUGUUAAGAAUCUAUUUAAACUGUCUGUUAUCAUUGUUUAGCUUAAAAAGAAACUGCUUUGCUUCUUACAUGUCACAAACUUACAUUAAAAGCAUCCUGAAGAAGG